This 612-nucleotide ribosomal RNA is filed under the name [Candida] sp. ZIM 2320. RNAcentral describes it as "eukaryotic LSU rRNA". It matches the Rfam family "Eukaryotic large subunit ribosomal RNA", at positions 38 to 667 of the family's 3401-position model. Lineage: Eukaryota; Fungi; Ascomycota; Saccharomycetes; Saccharomycetales. The record is from RNAcentral.
GCAUAUCAAUAAGCGGAGGAAAAGAAACCAACAGGGAUUGCCUUAGUAACGGCGAGUGAAGCGGCAAGAGCUCAAAUUUGAAAUCUAGCACUUUCAGUGUUCGAGUUGUAAUUUGAAGAAGGUAUCUUUGGAGUUGGCCCCUGUCUAUGUUCCUUGGAACAGGACGUCACAGAGGGUGAGAAUCCCGUGCGAUGGGGAGACCAAUUCUUUGUAAAGUUCCUUCGAAGAGUCGAGUUGUUUGGGAAUGCAGCUCUAAGUGGGUGGUAAAUUCCAUCUAAAGCUAAAUAUUGGCGAGAGACCGAUAGCGAACAAGUACAGUGAUGGAAAGAUGAAAAGAACUUUGAAAAGAGAGUGAAAAAGUACGUGAAAUUGUUGAAAGGGAAGGGCUUUUGAUCAGACUUGGUGUUUAACGAUCUCUUCUCCUUGUGGGAGGGGCUCUUGUUUUAUACUGGGCCAGCAUCGGUUUGGAUGGCAGGAUAAUGACAUUGGAACGUGGCUUCAUUCGUGAAGUGUUAUAGCCUUUGUUGAUACUGCCUAUCUAGACCGAGGACUGCGUCUUUGACUAGGAUGCUGGCGUAAUGAUUAAAAGCCGCCCGUCUUGAAACACGGACC